Long non-coding RNA from Planococcus citri (citrus mealybug), 498 nucleotides. RefSeq lists it as uncharacterized. The transcript has 3 exons. NCBI's taxonomy places the organism in Eukaryota, Metazoa, Arthropoda, Insecta, Hemiptera, Pseudococcidae. The record is from RefSeq and is a predicted model, not a curated record.
GCGAAAUGCACAGAGUAAACUAUCAUAAAUUUAAACGUAGUGCUAAUUGGAAGUACGUGUAAUUAAAAAAUGAACUACGAGUAGCAUAUUGAGAUGUUUGUUACCUGUUUCAGCUGAUUAGUUGGACGUUCGUGUGUUAAAUAUUCGUUUGACGAGAAUUAUAUCGACGCUGAAAUUAGGUAAGCUGAAUUUAGAAACACCUAUGAGUAGCUUGCACGUACCUACGAGUAAACCAAGAUUGUUUCGAAAAUUAAUUACCUGUCGGUUGUUUUACAGUAGUAAGACGUAUUGGAUCGUGACUGGCAAAUUCAAGUAGCUAGAAGUGAUCUUCUAAUUAGACAUAGUUAUUGACGAUACGAUGAACGACGCGAACGAAAGAGAAGACGUACCGAGACGAGCGUUUGUUUGGGAUGAUAGUAACAGCAGCACAUCCGAAAGCGAAGAGGAAGAUGACGCAACGCAUUACCGCGUUUUCCGCUGCCAGCUAUGCGGACAGGC